GUCACUUUGGCGGAGUGGUUAACGCGCAGCCCUGCUAUUGACUGAGUAGAUUUAAGUUGGUCUAUGUAGGCAUAGAAUAGGCUGUGACUUCGGUCGCGUAGGUUCGAAUCCUGCAGGUGACG
Non-coding RNA from Ilyonectria sp. MPI-CAGE-AT-0026, 122 nucleotides. The record is from the annotation of a GenBank genome assembly. NCBI's taxonomy places the organism in Eukaryota, Fungi, Ascomycota, Sordariomycetes, Hypocreales, Nectriaceae.